This 344-nucleotide unclassified non-coding RNA is filed under the name uncultured fungus. RNAcentral's name for it is "partial contains 5.8S ribosomal RNA and internal transcribed spacer 2". The stretch from base 1 to 134 matches the Rfam family "5.8S ribosomal RNA", at positions 22 to 154 of the family's 154-position model. Lineage: Eukaryota; Fungi. The record is from RNAcentral.
UGGUUCUGGCAUCGAUGAAGAACGCAGCGAAAUGCGAUAAGUAAUGCGAAUUGCAGAAUUUCCGUGAGUCAUCGAAUCUUUGAACGCACAUUGCGCCCUUUGGCAUUCCGAAGGGCAUGCCUGUCCGAGCGUCAUUAUCCUCCCUCAAACCCCCGGGUUUGGUGUUGGACCGCGUUGGGCCCUUGCCGGCCAACUGGUCUCAAAGACAAUGACGGUGUCCCCAGGACCCUCUUUGCACUGAGCUUUUCGGAGCACGCAGAGAGUUUCAAGGGCUCAGGGACCCGGUCGCCUCCAAAAACUAUUUUUUUCAGGUUGACCUCGGAUCAGGUAGGAAUACCCGCUGA